GCAAGUCGUGGGGCAGCAUGAGUAGCAAUACUUGAUGGCGACCGGCAAACGGGUGAGGAACACGUACACAACCUUCCUUCAAGCGGGGAAUAGCCCAGAGAAAUUUGGAUUAAUACCCCAUAAUAUAUUUGAUAAGGCAUCUUAUUAAUAUUAAAGCUUCGGCACUUGAUGAUGGGUGUGCGGCUGAUUAGAUAGUUGGCGGGGUAACGGCCCACCAAGUCUACGAUCAGUAGCUGAUGUGAGAGCAUGAUCAGCCACACGGGCACUGAGACACGGGCCCGACUCCUACGGGAGGCAGCAGUAAGGAAUAUUGGACAAUGGACGAAAGUCUGAUCCAGCCAUGCCGCGUGAAGGAUUAAGGUCCUCUGGAUUGUAAACUUCUUUUAUAUGGGACGAAAAAAGGGCAUUCUUGUUCACUUGACGGUACCAUAUGAAUAAGCACGGGCUAACUCCGUG
This 456-nucleotide ribosomal RNA is filed under the name uncultured bacterium. Its description in RNAcentral is "bacterial SSU rRNA". It matches the Rfam family "Bacterial small subunit ribosomal RNA", at positions 57 to 507 of the family's 1533-position model. The record is from RNAcentral.